UACGUAGGUGGCAAAUGUUGUUCGGAAUCACUGGGCGUAAAGGGAGCGUAGGCGGGUUUUUAAGUCAGGUGUUUAAUCCCGGGGCCCAACCCCGGACAGGCACUUGAAACUGGGAAUCUUGAAUAGUGGAGAGGUCAGUGGAAUUGGGGGUGUAGCGGUGGAAUGCGUAGAGAUCCCCAAGAACACCCGUUGCGAAGGCGGCUGACUGGACACAUAUUGACGCUGAGGCUCGAAAGCAUGGGGAGCAAACAGG
RNAcentral lists this ribosomal RNA (253 nucleotides) under uncultured bacterium. RNAcentral describes it as "partial 16S ribosomal RNA". It matches the Rfam family "Bacterial small subunit ribosomal RNA", at positions 524 to 776 of the family's 1533-position model. The record is from RNAcentral.